RNAcentral lists this ribosomal RNA (400 nucleotides) under phytoplankton environmental sample. Its description in RNAcentral is "partial small subunit ribosomal RNA". It matches the Rfam family "Eukaryotic small subunit ribosomal RNA", at positions 587 to 991 of the family's 1831-position model. The record is from RNAcentral.
AGCUCCAAUAGCGUAUAUUAAAGUUGUUGCAGUUAAAAAGCUCGUAGUUGGAUUUGUGGCGUACGGAGUGUUCCCUUCACUUGUUGUUGCGGAUAUGCUUCGUUGCCAUCCUUGGGUGGAAUCUGUGUGGCAUUAGGUUGUCGUGCAGGGGAUGCCCAUCUUUUACUGUGAAAAAAUUAGAGUGUUCAAAGCAGGCUUAUGCCGUUGAAUAGAUUAGCAUGGAAUAAUGAGAUAGGACCUUGGUACUAUUUUGUUGGUUUGCGCACCGAGGUAAUGAUUAAUAGGGACAGUUGGGGGUAUUCGUAUUCCAUUGUCAGAGGUGAAAUUCUUGGAUUUUUGGAAGACGAACUACUGCGAAAGCAUUUACCAAGGAUGUUUUCAUUAAUCAAGAACGAAAGUA